CCUACGGGAGGCAGCAGUAGGGAAUUUUCCGCAAUGGGCGAAAGCCUGACGGAGCAAUCUCGCGUGAGGGAUGACGGCCUAUGGGUUGUAAACCUCUUUUUUCAGGGAGGAAUAUAUGACGUGUACCUGAAGAAUAAGCAUCGGCUAACUCCGUGCCAGCAGCCGCGGUAAGACGGAGGAUGCAAGUGUUAUCCGGAAUCACUGGGCGUAAAGCGUCUGUAGGUUGUUUAAUAAGUCAACUGUUAAAUCUUAAAGCUCAACUUUGAAAUCGCAGUCGAAACUAUUAGACUAGAGUAUAGUAGGGGUAAAGGGAAUUUCCAGUGGAGCGGUGAAAUGCGUAGAGAUUGGAAAGAACACCGAUGGCGAAGGCACUUUACUGGGCUAUUACUAACACUCAGAGACGAAAGCUAGGGUAGCAAAUGGGAUUAGAUACCCCAGUAGUCCUAGCCGUAAACAAUGGAUACUAGAUGUUGAACAGAUCGACCUGUGCAGUAUCAAAGCUAACGCGUUAAGUAUCCCGCCUGGGAAGUAUGCUCGCAAGAGUGAAACUCAAAUGAAUUGACGG
Molecule: ribosomal RNA, 565 nt
Filed under: uncultured bacterium
Lineage: Bacteria
Description: bacterial SSU rRNA
Rfam family: Bacterial small subunit ribosomal RNA
Source: RNAcentral